ACACCAGAAAAAGAAAAAUUCAAUGCUAGGUACAAUAGAACCAGCUCAAAACUCUAACUACUUGUCACUAUUCAGCAAAUACUCAAAUUGCUUCAUGAUUUCCCCUAUAUUGGCAUUUACAUAACAUGCUUGGACAGUUAAAAGUAGGACAAGUAGUUACAAGAUCAACAAAAUUCUCCACUUAGUUAACCGAAGGCUUUUGGUUCGCCUAAUGUUCAUCGUUGUCAAAAGCUCCUUUCGACUGUAUUAUAACCCGAGCUCCUGAUGCAAGCCUUUCUUCAAUUUUGAUCAUACUGUCUUUCUCCUCUCUGAAAGAGUCUAUUCUAUUUGAGUGUAUCUUAUCAGAUGGCUCUGUAAUUCGCUUGCUUCCUCCACGGGAUGUGUCAGAUGUAAUGGUCCGUGAACUGCCUAUUCCGUCUGAUGAGAUUCUAGGACCUUCAGAAACAGGAGACUUCAUUGACUCGCUUCUUGCUUGCUGCUUAUUUAGUGUCGCCUUGAUGGAACGUGGAAUGCACUUUAUGACUGAGCUUUUCUCCUCUUUGUCUUCAACUGAAUCUACAUGUUCUUUAUUUGUCCUGUCAGCAUUGUAGGACGACGACCGCUUUAAAAGGGUAGGUUCCUUGGGCAUAUUCGUCUCGAGAAGGCUUCCACUAAAGUAUUCCUUAUCUUCCAACCUCAAACUCAUAAACUUAGGAUUCUCUGCCAGGCAAUCAAGAUCUCCUAAAGUUAACGAGGUUGAGAACAGAGGAGACGGGAACUUUGAAUGCG
RNAcentral lists this unclassified non-coding RNA (768 nucleotides) under Hevea brasiliensis (rubber tree). The record is from RNAcentral. Lineage: Eukaryota; Viridiplantae; Streptophyta; Magnoliopsida; Malpighiales; Euphorbiaceae.